CACGGUCCCUGCCCUCCUGGAACUUCCACUCUAGAAGGAGGCAGACAACCCAGCAUGCUACGAGUUCUGAAAGGGGAAGUACUGGGCCCCAGGAAGCAGAGAAGAGAAUCCCGUAUCCCAGACUCGCGGGGUUGGGAGCGACUCCCGGGAAGAAGCAGCGUGUCACCUAAGCCCUGGAACAGCAGGCAUCUGCCUGGGGCGGGCUGGGGGGCGCCUUCCCGAGAGCAACACGCGGGAGGGUCAGCUGGUGAGGGAACAGAGUGAACGGAGCCGGAAGAUGGCCAGUGUAGUGAACCAAGAAGGUUUCCCGGGGCGGCAGGGAGCAGAAUGAGCAAUAAAGCGAGGAGCGGCCACGGUGGCUUCCAGGGGAGCUGCCCGUUCCUGGACCCGAGGAGAAAACUGGGACAGACGUGCAUGAGCAGACACCCCCCUCUGGUGGCCGAAAGAGGUCCUGCUCCUGAGGCCGCCAGGGCGGGGUCCACAAGACACAGGCCGGUUCCCACCUUCUCUUGGUUCCCAUUCUCGGCUCCCAGGUGAAAGGAAGUCGGGCUGCAGGGAGGUUCCCUACCUCUUUUUUUAGGUUUUAGAGAAACCUGAAAAAUGGAGAAAAUGUAUAUAUAUGCUUAGGAAAAAAUGCUAGAAAGACACUCCAUGUUACCCGUGAUUCUGGAAUAGGUGACUAGAUUUUUUUCAUUUUGUUUACAUGUAUUUUAAAAGUGUCUGUUAUGGACAUGCAUUACGCUUGUUGAGAAGAGAAAAAAUGUAUUAUGUUUCUUACAAAAGAGCAGAAGUGACAGAAAAGUGGCCUAAGAAGGGACUAAGGUGGAGGCCAGGUGGCUGAUGUGGGAGCUGAGUGGCCUGGUGACGAGUGGCUGAGCGGGCCAGCUCCCUUGCCCUUCGGCACCUGGGGAGCACACACCUGGUGGUGAUGAAGCCACGCAGAGAAGGCCUGUGUUUGGGGACCGUGUCUAGCUGUGUCCUUCGUGCCCCUCAGCUCACACACACCAGCUUCCCUGCUCAGGGCCAUGGUGGUCCCGCCUCUCUCCUUUUCUCAUCAAAGUAACAGCUUCCUGACCUGUCACCGCUCACACCUGAGGCUUCUCUUCCGCGUGGGCUCCGAUGCUGAACGAGGGCUGUGUCUGCUCGACCACAGCCACACGUGUGACAUCACUGUGGCCUUUGCCCGGACGUCUUUUCUAAUCUGGAACCAGGAGCUCACCUGGCCUGCAGGCUUGUCACUUGUCACCUUCAUGGCUUGUCUCUUCUCUCUCCUGCUUGAAACUCCUCUCUUGGGCAGGAUGGCUGCUCAGCCUGCUCUCUGGGAGGUUCCCUGAGGCAGCCCAAGGGCCUGGAACAUUCUGCGGGCCUCCCAGCUCUGGCGCCUGCAGAGCUUCCCUGGAGUCUGCUUGAGUCACUGGGGAGGCCUUCCUUCAGCAAGUUCCUGAUCUGAGCUGAAGCCGUCCUCAGUCCUGAGGUCACCAUCGGAACCCAGACGGAGAGAAUCCAAAUAUUAUUGCUGUGCAAAGGUGGCUGUGGAGAUAAAACCCCUGCCGAUCACAGGGGACCCAUGACAUGAACGGCGGCAUGUGACACCACGAUGAAAAAUGAGGCUGUAAAAGAAUUUCAUGAUCAUAUAUAUUUCUACAGUAGCUUAUAAAAUAGUAUAUAUACGAUGAGGAAACUGAGGCUCAGAGAAGUUCAAGGACUUGCCCCAAAUGGCACAGCUAGUACGCAGCGGAGGCAGGACCCCAAUCCAGUUGGUUCCAGUGCCCGUCUCGCUGCUCUGUGCUGCUCAGCUGUCCCUCACGAGCACGGGCCACAAGGCAGGGGCCAAGGAGCAUGUUACAAACACUUAACUCGUAGGGCCCAGACUGACUGAUUAGAACAGAUGCUGGUCUCACCUGGAGACCUCUGGUGGGACCUGGUGAUAACCAUUAAAGGGUGGACCCUGGGAAGGUCUUGAGGAUCGGGGGCAUCACCGGGUGGCCAAAGGGCUGGCAGGGCACUCAGGGACAGAGCGGCAGCUGCUUACCAACCAGUCUAGAAGCGUUUCAAUACUUUCACAACCCGUCCAUCCGUGCUGGUGGCACCAGAUGAAUGUCAUCCCUGCCUUGGCCUCCCCGCCUUCUGUGUCCCAUGGAUCCCAACAGUGACAGGAGAUGCUAGAAGUUGUGAGUGUGUCACUUAUUUCGGGGAGCUCUUCAGUCAAACUACACUCCCAAGAGAAGGGACCUGAUGCUCCCCGACUAGGUGUCCACGGACACGUCCAAAUCUGGGAGGUCAACUCUUGGCCCCCGGUGCUCACGCAAGGCCAGGCUGGCACUGCUGAUCUAAAACAGCACCCCCUAGUAGGGGAUAUUUGGCUUUGCAAGGAGCGUUACAGUCCUGUUACAAAGGAAGGUACUGAGUUCUGAGAAUUUACAGCAACAGAAACAGCGAUGGAACCACUCCUCUCUGAGGGAGAGACAGCGGCGCGUCCAGCCCCUCCACCCUGCCGGCUGCCCCCUCCCGCUGGGGAGAUGCCUCAUUGAGCCUGUUCUCCUGAUUCCCAACUGCCUGCCUUGCCCUGGAGCAGGGCCCCUCCAUAGACCCAACAAGGUGACUUGAUCUCCUGGGUUCCCUCCAAACGCUGAGUACAGACUACAUGGAGGGAAGAAGACAAGAUCAUCUCAUUGUCAAGAAAGGUCUCUGUGAGCCACACCAUGGAGCGUGGUUUGGCCAAAAAGCUACCACACCACAGGGACGCUCAGCUCUGGCAGGGGCCCCUGUGGAUGACUGAGACGACGGAGGGGUUCCAUUCUGUUUCUUGUCCUCCAAUGACCUCAGUACCUCUCUGCAUUCCACACUUAUGGUCUCAUGCUAGUUCAAUGAUCACACUCGGCUCCCAGCACAGAUCUGUAAGCUGUGAUGUUCUGUCCUGCUUUUCAG
This is a long non-coding RNA of Equus caballus (horse), 2928 nucleotides long. The record is from Ensembl. Lineage: Eukaryota; Metazoa; Chordata; Mammalia; Perissodactyla; Equidae.